UGACGAACGCUGGCGGCGCGCCUAACACAUGCAAGUCGGACUAGCGAGAGAGAGCUUGCUUUCUCGAGCGAGUGGCGAACGGGUGAGUAACGCGUGAGGAACCUGCCUCAAAGAGGGGGACAACAGUUGGAAACGACUGCUAAUACCGCAUAAGCCCACGGGUCGGCAUCGACCAGAGGGAAAAGGAGCAAUCCGCUUUGAGAUGGCCUCGCGUCCGAUUAGCUAGUUGGUGAGGUAACGGCCCACCAAGGCGACGAUCGGUAGCCGGACUGAGAGGUUGAACGGCCACAUUGGGACUGAGACACGGCCCAGACUCCUACGGGAGGCAGCAGUGGGGAAUAUUGCACAAUGGGGGAAACCCUGAUGCAGCGACGCCGCGUGGAGGAAGAAGGUCUUCGGAUUGUAAACUCCUGUUGUUGAGGAAGAUAAUGACGGUACUCAACAAGGAAGUGACGGCUAACUACGUGCCAGCAGCCGCGGUAAAACGUAGGUCACAAGCGUUGUCCGGAAUUACUGGGUGUAAAGGGAGCGCAGGCGGGAAGACAAGUUGGAAGUGAAAUCCAUGGGCUCAACCCAUGAACUGCUUUCAAAACUGUUUUUCUUGAGUAGUGCAGAGGUAGGCGGAAUUCCCGGUGUAGCGGUGGAAUGCGUAGAUAUCGGGAGGAACACCAGUGGCGAAGGCGGCCUACUGGGCACCAACUGACGCUGAGGCUCGAAAGUGUGGGUAGCAAACAGGAUUAGAUACCCUGGUAGUCCACACCGUAGACGAUGAUUACUAGGUGUUGGAGGAUUGACCCCU
Molecule: ribosomal RNA, 799 nt
Filed under: uncultured organism
Description: SSU rRNA
Rfam family: Bacterial small subunit ribosomal RNA
Source: RNAcentral